This 600-nucleotide ribosomal RNA is filed under the name Ochthebius vandykei. RNAcentral describes it as "SSU rRNA". It matches the Rfam family "Eukaryotic small subunit ribosomal RNA", at positions 22 to 602 of the family's 1831-position model. The record is from RNAcentral. Lineage: Eukaryota; Metazoa; Arthropoda; Insecta; Coleoptera; Hydraenidae.
AGUCAUAUGCUUGUCUCAAAGAUUAAGCCAUGCAUGUCUAAGUACAAGCCAAAUUAAGGUGAAACCGCGAAAGGCUCAUUAAAUCAGUUAUGGUUCCUUAGAUCGUACCCACACUUACUUGGAUAACUGUGGUAAUUCUAGAGCUAAUACAUGCAAAUAGAGCUCCGACCGGAGACGGAAGGAGUGCUUUUAUUAGAUCAAAACCAAUCGGCGACGGGUCAAACCGUUGUCGUAAUAUUUGGUGACUCUGAAUAACUUUUGCUGAUCGCACGGUCUAGCACCGGCGACGCAUCUUUCAAAUGUCUGCCUUAUCAACUGUCGAUGGUAGGUUCUGCGCCUACCAUGGUUGUAACGGGUAACGGGGAAUCAGGGUUCGAUUCCGGAGAGGGAGCCUGAGAAACGGCUACCACAUCCAAGGAAGGCAGCAGGCGCGCAAAUUACCCACUCCCGGCACGGGGAGGUAGUGACGAAAAAUAACGAUACGGGACUCAUCCGAGGCCCCGUAAUCGGAAUGAGUACACUUUAAAACCUUUAACAAAAAUCAAUUGGAGGGCAAGUCUGGUGCCAGCAGCCGCGGUAAUUCCAGCUCCAAUAGCGUAU